CUCCUGACCUCAAGCGAACCUUCCACUUUGGCCUCCCAAAGUGCUGGGAUUAUAGGUGCAUGCUGCUGCACCUGGCCCUUCUGAGCAGUGCUUGGAAGCUGCCUCCUGACGGGGGCUGGGGGUCAGAGUGGCCAGCUGAAUGCUGGGCCAUCAGGGUGAGGGGCAUCUUCUCGCCCAUUGCCUGUUCUCCCAGGGCAGAUGGAAGGGGAAGACCCUGCAUUGGGGUGGCAUUAAACAAGAUGAGAUUGUAAGAUCUGCUUUCACUUUAAAGUAACAUUUCUGGUUGUUGCUUGGAAAGAAGUGUCAGGGACAAGAAUGCUGCAGGAGGGCUGGCCUGGAGGACAGGGUGGGACUGUGGGCUUGCUGUGCAGGGGCAGAAGCCUGCGCUUGCGUCAGAGGUGCCUGGGAAACCCUGGCUCUGGGGCAGAGGCCUGAGCAAGGGGGCCUCGCUGGGGUGUCUCUGUCUUAGCCACGCUCGGUGUUUCUGGGUCCUGUGACUCACGUGUGAGCAGCGUAUGGUGCUGGUGGCACAGGGGAGGAAACUGAGGCAGGGAGCCUGUAGGGGCUGCUUGGCAGAGGACAGGCAGCUCCUGUGCCCACUGCUGUCCCACACCUGCGUGGAAACAGAAACCCCGCCACGGAGCCCCCUCCCAUCUCCACAGGCCUCCAGAGCGCCAUGUGCAAGGACUUCAUGGGCGGGGUGGGGUGGGGUCAGGAGCCUGCUGUGGGCUGGCCAGGCCCCGGCCCUCCCUGUCCCACCCUGCGCUGCCUCCACGCACCUCUCAGGGCCGUCAUGGCUUUUCCUGUGGCUUCUGACAGGUAGAGUCAGCGAUGACGGCUUCAUAGCCAUUAAGCUUACGGCACUGGGGAGACCCCAGUUUCUGGUAAGUGCUAGAACUUUCCACCUCUAGAGUCUGGUGCUGUGCGAGAUCUCAGGGCAGCUGUGGGCAUCCACCAAAAGCACAGGUGCCCAUGCCUUAGAGGCCUGAGCUGGCCACAGGGGCUGUGUGGGGGACUGGGCCGGGCAGGGGCGUGUGCGGAUGGCAUUCAGGCCUGCAUUUGCAGCUGCAGUUCUCAGAGGUGCUGGCCAAGUGGAGGUGCUUCUUUCACCAAAUGGCUGUGGAGCAAGGGCAGGCGGGCCUGGCUGCCAUGGACACCAAGCUGGAGGUGGCAGUGCUGCAGGAAAGUGUCGCAAAGAUGGGCAUCGCAUCCAGGGCUGAGAUUGAGGACUGGUUCACAGCGGAGACCCUGGGAGUGUCUGGCACUGUGGACCUGCUGGACUGGAGCAGCCUCAUCCACAGCAGGACCAAGCUCUCCAAGCACCUGGUGGUCCCCAACGCACAGACAGGACAGCUGGAGCCCCUGCUGUCCCGGUUCACUGAGGAGGAGGAGCUACAGAUGACGAGGAUGCUACAGCGGAUGGAUGUCCUGGCCAAGUUGCUCCCACUCCCCCACCCCCUGCGCCUCUCAGAAAGCCACAGAGAUGGGCGUGCGGCUGAUGGUGGAUGCCGAGCAGACCUACUUCCAGCCGGCCAUCAGCCGCCUGACGCUGGAGAUGCAGCGGAAGUUCAAUGUGGAGAAGCCGCUCAUCUUCAACACAUACCAGUGCUACCUCAAGGAUGCCUAUGACAAUGUAACCCUGGAUGUGGAGCUGGCUCGCCGUGAGGGCUGGUGUUUUGGGGCCAAGCUGGUGCGGGGCGCAUACCUGGCCCAGGAGCGAGCCCGUGCGGCAGAGAUCGGCUAUGAGGACCCCAUCAACCCCACGUACGAGGCCACCAAUGCCAUGUACCACAGGUGCCUGGACUACGUGCUGGAGGAGCUGAAGCACAAUGCCAAGGCCAAGAUGAUGGUGGCCUCCCACAACGAGGACACAGUGCGCUUCGCACUGCACAGGAUGGAGGAGCUGGGCCUGCAUCCUGCUGACCACCAGGUGUACUUCGGACAGCUGCUAGGCAUGUGUGACCAGAUCAGCUUCCCGCUGGGUGAGUGGGGCCCUCCCCGGUGCGAUGGGGUACGGUGCUGGGCCUGGGCCUCAUGGCGUAUCUGCCCCCAUGCAGGCCAGGCCGGCUACCCUGUGUACAAGUACGUGCCCUAUGGCCCCGUGAUGGAGGUGCUGCCCUACUUGUCCCGCCGUGCCCUGGAGAACAGCAGCCUCAUGAAGGGCGCCCAUCGGGAACGGCAGCUGAUGUGGGUAGAGCUCCUGCGGCGGCUCCGAACUUGCAGCUUCUUCCAUCGCCCCACCUAGCACCUGCCAGCCCACCCUCAGCCUCCAGACCCACUCCACCCCCCACAGGCCAUCACCACAGCUGCAGCCAACCCCCAGAUUCACCUUUUUUCACCCCAAACUUGCAGAGCUGCUGGAGGUGGGGUCAGGUGCCUCCCAGCCCUGCCAAUGGUGGGGACACUCAGGUGUGGGCCGAACCUGAUACCUGCCUGGGACAGCCGCUGGGAACUGUUGGGAACUCUCCUCGGAUGUGUGGGCCCAAGGCCCCCACCUCUGUGACCCCCAUGUCCUUGGACCUAGAGGAUUGUCCACCUUCUGCCAAGGCCAGCCCACACAGCCCGAGCCCCUCGGGGAGCGGUGGCCGGGCUGGGGAGGCCUGCCUGUCAAUAAACCACUGUUCCUGC
Molecule: small RNA, 2628 nt
Filed under: Pongo abelii (Sumatran orangutan)
Lineage: Eukaryota; Metazoa; Chordata; Mammalia; Primates; Hominidae
Description: retained intron
Source: RNAcentral